AGGCUACACACAAAAAAAUAUUACGGUAAUGACAAAAGUAACUUACUUUAGAAUUAAAAAGUUGUUAAAAUUUGCUACAUUAAAAGUUUUUUUCUUGUUUUGAAAAUGAAAACUUUUACUGCUACAGUUUUUGAAAAUCUCAUUGCUCACUGAUUUAAAAGUUUUCACUUUUAAUUCGACUGUAAAAUUUCUUUCAUUUUGACGUUCUCGUGUAACCGUGUACGCCUAAGUCGCAAAUGUAAACAAACACUUUGGUGGGUCCGGUGGUGCUGGUGAGUCUAGGACGCAAAGCAAAGCCGACCACGGCAGCAGCCAGAACUCGGACGCGGAAACCUUCGAAAGAGGAUGGUGUGGGCUCGGGUGCGGGUGCGUAACAAGGUUGGGAGAUUAGGGGAAAGUUGGUUUUCAAAAGGAUAAGGCCAUGGCUGCAGCUUCCUGCAGGACCUGCAGCUGUUUCACGACCGAAAUGGGUAAGAAUGAAGCUUGGGUGUUUGGUGGCGUUUGAGAUUAUUUUGUUUGUUUUUGUAGGACGCCGUUUAUGUGGUUGCCGAAGAUCGGAGGUCGGGAUGUGGAUUUGCACCGGUUGUAUUCGGUGGUGGUGGCCCGGGGUGGGUAGACGAGAUUGACGUUGAAGCAGAUUUACAUUCGCUUUUUGAACAAGUACGAAAAAGUUAAGUUUCAUGGUGAGGAGAAGGAUCCGACGGAAGAGGGAAACGACGAGUAGCGGCAUAAUCGGAGGUGGUCAGCGCGGAUGUUGCACUCGGUGCCGGCGGUUUACGACCAUCAGCAGCAUUAUGUGCCAGAAGUGAUGACGGGACAGUGUGGGAUGUCCCGAGGGUCCGCAGUCCAUUUCUCGUUGCGGGACGAGUAUUACCUAAACAUCCGGAAGAACAGUUUGCACUAGUUCUGGAAGGACCGUCUGUACGAAAGCCGCAGGUCCUGGAGCUGUCGUACUCAGAUUACUUCCAGAGGUUGGAGCGAGAUCCGACGAACCUGAUCAAAAACAUCUACCUGGAAUACAGAAGAAGUUACAGCAACUCCCGCCCGCAAACGCUCAUCUAGCAACGGCGCAGCUUCGGCCGGAUGAACUUUGAUGGCGAGUUGGCAAUAUCUGUAUAAUUCUCGAAGGAGGACGAAGUGAUCGUGGACUAUCCGUUCAUGCGCUUCACUUCCUAGCCGGAAAACGUCGUCUUCCCUUCCCGAAUCAACAACCAAUGGCCAACUCCUCCAAGCCUGUCCUGAUGAUGGCCGGCAACGAGACCACCCUGUUCUCUACAUCGCUGUCGCGCUCCAAAAUAAAGGCCGCGAUGUUGCUCCCCAACGAAACAUCCAUCCGUAACCUGCUCAGCCUGGGGCCUUCGAACGUGACCGGUGGCGUACCGUAAGAAUCGGUACAGCUUGGACGCGGAAGUUGGCCAACCGUAAGCAGAUCCGCUAAAUACAAAAAAAAAAUCGAAAACAUACUGUUUUAAUAUUAAAAUAUUGAAAUAAAAUCCAUCACAUGUUUCGAAAA
Culex pipiens pallens (northern house mosquito) is the source of this 1513-nucleotide long non-coding RNA. RefSeq lists it as uncharacterized. The transcript has 2 exons. The record is from RefSeq and is a predicted model, not a curated record. Lineage: Eukaryota; Metazoa; Arthropoda; Insecta; Diptera; Culicidae.